This 513-nucleotide ribosomal RNA is filed under the name uncultured bacterium. Its description in RNAcentral is "partial 16S ribosomal RNA". It matches the Rfam family "Bacterial small subunit ribosomal RNA", at positions 28 to 523 of the family's 1533-position model. The record is from RNAcentral.
GACGAACGCUGGCGGCAUGCCUAAUACAUGCAAGUCGAGCGAACAGAUGAAGUGCUUGCACUUCUGACGUUAGCGGCGAACGGGUGAGUAACACGUAAGGAAUCUACCUAUAAGCGGGGGAUAACAUUCGGAAACGGGUGCUAAUACCGCAUAAUAUCUUCUUCCGCAUGGAAGAAGAUUGAAAGACGGCUCUGCUGUCACUUAUAGAUGACCUUGCGGUGCAUUAGUUAGUUGGUGGGGUAACGGCCUACCAAGACGAUGAUGCAUAGCCGGCCAGAGAGGGUGAUCGGCCACAUUGGGACUGAGACACGGCCCAAACUCCUACGGGAGGCAGCAGUAGGGAAUCUUCCGCAAUGGGCGAAUGCCUGACGGAGCAAUGCCGCGUGAGUGAAGAAGGCCUUCGGGUCGUAAAACUCUGUUAUAAGAGAAGAACAAAUUGUAGAGUAACUGCUACAGUCUUGACGGUAUCUUAUCAGAAAGCCACGGCUAACUACGUGCCAGCCGCCGCCGUAA